UGUACAUUUAACAAAUAAACAUAACAAAUACUAAAAAAAAAUAUAAAUAAUUGGUUCCUACACGUAAAUUGUGGAGUAAAAUAGUUAUAAAAAAGCAUAGAUUUUUAAAAAAUUAAACAUUAUUAAUAUACAAAUUAUAUGCAUUAAUUUAAUUUGCCUACCUUUUUUAUAAGUCGACAUAUUACAUCCUCUUUCAUACAUUUCUAUCAGCUGUCAUAUUUGAAUUCCCUCCGUUACUCAUAACCUCUUUUACACUAUACGUUGAGUACAGAAUUAAACAUUCUGCCAAAGGUAGCGUACUGGCCACUAAGAACCUUUAACUUUUUAAUUAUGGAAAAAGGUAAGUGAAAAUAUUGAUCUAUAAAUGGACUGGCUAUAAGAAUAGCAUUUUGUGCCUAUUUGAUUUUGGUCAUUUUGGCGCUGAUAGUAGCACUUUGUAGCGGUGGUGUAAAUUGGAACUAAUAAUAUAGAUGACGUAACAUCAACAAGCUCGUUCAAUUCGGAACGAAUAAAAAGCUGUCAAUGUCUAGCAAUUGCCUAUCCAUUUAUAGAGGUCAGUGGAAAAAAGAAUAACGCGGGAAUUUUACGAAUUACCAACGAAAUAAAGUAAAGGAUAUUAUUAUUAUAUUUUGUAAAUACAUGUAGUUUUGAUAUAAUUAUUUAACAUCGAAUAAAAGCAUUUUUGUGUGCAUUAAUAGUUUGAAUUCAAACACGUUCGUCUAGACAUUAGAACACAAAUUAAACUUUAUACGAAACAAAAAUGAUUAAUGUGUAAUUUCUACAAUAUGUUAAUUUUAAUUGUUAAAAUCAGUACUUAAGUCUUCCCUUAGUGUAGAUUUAUUAUUAAAAAUCAAAGGCGACGGCAACUUAAUGGUGGUUUGGCAAUAGAUAAUUUUUGUACAAAAUUAUUUUGUUUUUUAGCUACGAAGUCAAGGGAAAAGGCUAGUUUACGGCUAUUGUACUUUAUUACUAUUAGAUUUUAAUUCCUAUAUAGAUAUGACAAUUGAAUUUAACCUUAAAUGUGAAUUUUAAAGUGCAUUUCCACUGCAGAAAAAAAUAUGCCAAAGAAAAAAUUUUACAUAAAUGUUAUCUCAUUUUUUCUAAGAUAAUGAAAAAGUAAAUUUUUGUAUAUUUGCAGUGGAAAUCCACUUUAAAUUAUUACUAUACUAAUUGCUGUUAAUUUUACAAUAAAUUAUAGAAAAAAAAAUCAUAUGGGCCUGUCCAUUUACGUGUGAGAUGUGAGAUUUUAUUCCAACUCCCUCCCCCAUCCCCCAAUCUCAUGUGAGAUUAAUCAAAAUGUGAGUUUCUUACGUAUUAUACGACUAAAUGGAUCAAAAUAGUAAUUUUUUUUUCUGUUUGCGUGA
This is a long non-coding RNA of Papilio xuthus (Asian swallowtail), 1364 nucleotides long. RefSeq lists it as uncharacterized. The transcript has 2 exons. NCBI's taxonomy places the organism in Eukaryota, Metazoa, Arthropoda, Insecta, Lepidoptera, Papilionidae. The record is from RefSeq and is a predicted model, not a curated record.